RNAcentral lists this small nuclear RNA (334 nucleotides) under Cebus imitator (Panamanian white-faced capuchin). RNAcentral describes it as "7SK RNA (ENSCCAG00000007002.1)". It matches the Rfam family "7SK RNA". From Rfam's summary of the family: 7SK was discovered as an abundant small nuclear RNA in the mid-70s but a possible function has only recently been suggested. Two independent studies have found that 7SK RNA binds the CDK9/cyclin T complex (known as elongation factor P-TEFb). P-TEFb activates transcription by phosphorylating the C-terminal domain of RNA polymerase II. The record is from RNAcentral. Lineage: Eukaryota; Metazoa; Chordata; Mammalia; Primates; Cebidae.
GGCUGUGAGGGAGAGCUGGCUGUGACAUGUCACCCCAUUGUUUAUUUGGCUGAUCUGGCCGAUUAGGCAGGUGUUCCCUUCCUUCCUCACUGCUCCAUGUUCUUCCCUCCCAAAGCCACAUACUUGGUCGAACAGGAUGACCAUCCCUGACAGAGGAGGGCUGGUCUUCAGUCAAGGGUAUACAAGUAGCUACACUCCCCUGCUAGAACCUUCAAACAAGCUCUCAUAAUUGGAAUCUAAGAGCAAUGUUGAUGUCACCAGGUUAUCAAGUGAAGCUUCCAGGAAUGGGGCAUCAAUGUAAGCCAAUUUGUCCUAUGGAAUAUUAAUAAACUUU